CAUCGUUUUAUGAAUUUUUAUAUAAAAUAUAACCUGCCCAAUGAAGUAUUUAAAUGGCCGCGGUAUUUUGACCGUGCAAAGGUAGCAUAAUCAUUAGUUUCUUAAUUAGAAGCUGGAAUGAAUGGUUGGACGAGAAAAUUUCUGUCUUUGUUUUAAAAAUUAGAAUUUUAUUUUUAAGUCAAAAAGCUUAAAUUUUUAUGAAAGACGAGAAGACCCUAUAGAGUUUUACUUAUAAUUUGUAUUAUUAUUUAAUUAGUUGAUUAAUUGAUUUAAUUAUAUAUAAGUUUGAUUGGGGUGAUUGUUAGAUUUAAAUAACUCUAAUUAUUUAUUUUUUAUUAAUUUAUAUUUUUUUGAUCCAUAUUUUUUGAUUAGAAGAUUAAAUUACCUUAGGGAUAACAGCGUAAUUUUUAUGGAGAGUUCUUAUCAAUAUAAAAGUUUGCGACCUCGAUGUUGGAUUAAAAUUAAUUUUUGGUGGAGAAGCUAAAUAAUUAAGUCUGUUCGACUUUUAAAAUUUUACAUGAUCUGAGU
RNAcentral lists this ribosomal RNA (528 nucleotides) under Ptilodactylidae sp. UPOL RK0714. Its description in RNAcentral is "partial 16S ribosomal RNA". It matches the Rfam family "Bacterial large subunit ribosomal RNA", at positions 1829 to 2610 of the family's 2925-position model. Lineage: Eukaryota; Metazoa; Arthropoda; Insecta; Coleoptera; Ptilodactylidae. The record is from RNAcentral.